Gallus gallus (chicken) is the source of this 6331-nucleotide long non-coding RNA. The record is from Ensembl. NCBI's taxonomy places the organism in Eukaryota, Metazoa, Chordata, Aves, Galliformes, Phasianidae.
CCCCAUCCCCAGGUGGGGGUCCCGGUGGGCCGCCUGGAGCAGCGGGUGGGGGCUCUGAGGGGUCGCACCCCAUACACCGUCCGGGUCCGCGUCCGCCCCGACGGGCUGAGCUACGGCGGCUAUUGGAGCCCGUGGUCCGAACCCAUCACUGCCGUCACCGCCCCCGAUGUGGACCCGGUGACGGUGGGGCUCUCCUCUCUGCUGGCGCUGCUGCUGCUGGGGCUGGCAAUGCUCGCGCUGCUCGGACAGCGGCGGAAGCUGCAGGAGAAGCUGUGGCCGCCCGUGCCCGGCCCUGAGAGGGAAUUCGAGGGGCUCUUCAGCGCCUAUGGGGGCAAUUUUCAGCUCUGGCUGUACCAAGGGGUGGUGGAGCCCUGGAGCCCCCCCGGAGGCACCCCGGAAGCCGAGGAACAGCCCAGUGCCGUGGAAGAGGUGGGGCCCCCCCCCGGGCAAAGAGCCCCCCCCCGGGGACCCCCCCGUCUGCCCCCCCUUCGGCCCCCCCCAGCGGCCCCUCGCCCGCCUCCAGCUUUGAGUACACGCUGUUUGACCCCGGCUCGGCCCUGCUCUGCCCCAGGGGGCACCCCCAAAUCGCCCCCCCCCCACGACCCCCCCCGGCGGCCCCUACGCCAACCUGGCCCCUCCCCACAAAGGGUCCCCCCCCCCCGAGGAGGGGACCCCCCAAAGAAACCCCCCACGACAGGAGACCCCCACGGGAGCUUCCGUGCAAUGGGAACCCCCCCGGGACCCUCCUGGCGUUGGGGCCCCCCCCAAUGCCCCCCCCCUACGUGCUGUGCUCUUAAUGGAUGGGGGGGGGGGGAGAGGGGGGCGGAGGGGGGGGUUGGGGACACCCCCCGGGAUGGGGUGACACCGAAUGGAGGGGACACGGCGACGUGAGGUCACGUGGGCUCACCACGACACGGGGACGUGUCACACCACGGCACGAGGAUGGAGGGGACGUGUCAUAGUGACGUCACGUGGGCUCACCAUGACACGAGGAUGGAGGGGACGCGUCAUAGUGAUGUCAUGUGGGCUCACCAUGACACGAGGAUGGAGGUGACACACUGUAGUGAUGUCACAUGGACUCAUAGUGACAUCACAUGGACUUACCAUGACACGAGGACGUGUCACACUGUGACACAUUGAUGGAGGGGGACACAUCAUAGUGAUGUCACAUGGACUCACCAUGACACAAGGAUGGAGAGGACACGUCAUAGUGACGUCACGUGGGCUCACCAUGACAUGAGUACAGAUGGGACACAUCAUAGUGAUGUCAUGUGGGCUCACCAUGAGACGAGGAUGGAGGGGACACGUCAUAGUGACGUCACGUGGGCUCACCACGACACGGGGACGGAGGUGACACACUAGUGAUGUCACAUGGACUCAUAGUGACAUCACGUGGACUCACCAUGACACAAGGAUGGAGGGGACGCGUCAUAGUGACGUCACAUGGGCUCACCAUGACAUGAGGAUGGAGGGGACACGUCACAGUGAUGUCACGUGGACUCACCAUGACAUGAGGACGGAGGUGACACACUGUAGUGAUGUCACGUGGACUCAUAGUGACAUCACGUGGACUCACCAUGACACGAGGACGUGUCACACUGUGACACAUGGAUGGAGGUGACGUGUCAUAGUGAUGUCACGUGGACUCAUCACAACACUCGAGGACGUGUCACACUGUGACACAUGGACGGAGGGGACUCACCACGACACGAGGAUGGAGGUGACGCGUCAUAGUGACGUCACGUGGACUCACCACGACACGGGGACGGAGGGGACACGUCACAGUGAUGUCACGUGGACUCACAAUGACACGAGGAUGUGUCACACCGUGACACAUGGAUGGAGGCGACACGUCAUAGUGAUGUCACAUGGACUCACCACGACACAAGGAUGGAGGGGAGAAGUCACAGUGAUGUCACAUGGACACACAGUGACAUCACGUGGACUCACCAUGACACGAGGACGUGUCACACUGUGGACACAUGGAUGGAGGAGACUCACCACGACACGAGGAUGGAGGUGACGCGUCAUAGUGAUGUCACGUGGACUCACCACGACACGAGGGUAUGUCACACUGUGACACAUUGAUGGAGGGGACACGUCGUAGUGACGUCACAUGGACUCACCAUGACACGAGGAUGGAGAUGACACACUGUAGUGAUGUCACAUGGACUCAUAGUGACAUCACAUGGACUCACCACGACACGAGUAUGGAGGUAACGCGUCAUAGUGACGUCACGUGGACUCACCACGACACGAGGAUGGAGGUGACGCGUCAUAGUGACGUCACGUGGACUCACCACGACACGGGGACGGAGGGGACACGUCGCAGUGACGUCACGUGGGGACACAGCGGGGUUGUGGGGGUGGUCCCGUCCCACCCCCCCCCCCCCCCCCAAUGUCCAUACGCCGAAUUGGGGCCACUCGUGUUGGUUUGCCACUGUUUUAUACAAUAAAGCACUCGUGAGCGCACGCAGCGCCUCGGGGGGGGGUGGGGUGGGGUGGGGGCGGUGAUAAGGCCUUAUCAGAGCCCCCAGGGCCGGGGGGGGGCACAGCACGCGCUCAGCCCCACGCUGUGGGUGUCGGGGGGGGGGAGGGGGGUGGCUGUGAGGGCACUGAUAACGUGGGCUGUCCGCUCGUGUCGCCUCCUGGCACCUCCGGACACCUCCGGACACCUCCGGACACCAGCAGUGCGGCACGGGGGCUCGUGGCACCUCGGUUCCGUGUCGUAUAGGCACUGUGACAUCUGGGUCCCAUGUCACCUUGGUUCCGUGUCGUAUAGGCACUGUGACGUGGGUUCCGUGUCACCUGGGUUCCAUGUCACCGGGGUUCUGUGUCACCUGGGUUCUGUGUCACCUCGGUUCCGUGUCGUAUAGGCACUGUGACGUGGGUCCCGUGUCACCUGGGUUCUGUGUCACCUGGGUUCCGUGUCGUAUAGGCACUGUGUCACCUGGGUUCCGUGUCACCUGGGUUCUGUGUCACGGUGUUCCAUGUCACCUGGGUCCCAUGUCACCUUGGUUCCGUGUCGUAUAGGCACUGUGACGUGGGUUCCGUGUCACCUGGGUUCCAUGUCACCUGGGUUCUGUGUCACCUGGGUUCCGUGCCAUAUAGGCACUGUGACAUCUGGGUUCCGUGUCACCUGGGUUCUGUGUCACCUGGGUUCCAUGUCGUAUAGGCACUGUGUCACCUGGGUUCCAUGUCACCUGGGUUCUGUGUCACCUGGGUUCUGUGUCACCUGGGUUCUGUGUCACCUGGGUUCCGUGCCAUAUAGGCACUGUGACAUCUGGGUUCCGUGUCACCUGGGUUCUGUGUCACCUCGGUUCUGUGUCGUAUAGGCACUGUAUCACCUGGGUUCCAUGUCACCUGGGUUCUGUGUCGCCUGGGUUCUGUGUCGCCUGGGUUCCAUGUCACCUGGGUUCCGUGUCACCUUGGUUCCGUGUCGUAUAGGCACUGUGACGUGGGUUCCGUGUCACCUGGGUUCCGUGUCACCUGGGUUCUGUGUUGUAUAGGCACUGUGUCACCUGGGUUCUGUGUCACCUGGGUUCUGUGUCAUAUAGGCACCGUGUCACCUGGGUUCCGUGUCACCUGGGUUCUGUGUCAUCUGGGUUCCGUGUCACCUGGGUUCCGUGUCGUAUAGGCACUGUGUCACCUGGGUUCCGUGUCAUUGUGCCACCUGGGUUCCAUGUCAUAUAGGCACUGUGUCACCUGGGCACUGUGUCACCUGGGUUCUGUGUCACCUGGGUUCUGUGUCAUAUAGGCACUGUGUCACCUGGGUUCCGUGUCACCUGGGUUCUGUGUCACCGGGGUUCCGUGUCGUAUAGGCACUGUGACGUGGGUUCCGUGUCACCUGGGUUCCAUGUCACCGGGGUUCUGUGUCACCUGGGUUCCAUGUCACCUGGGUUCUGUGUCACCUGGGUUCUGUGUCAUAUAGGCACUGUGUCACCUGGGUUCUGUGACAUCUGGGUUCCGUGUCACCUGGGUUCCAUGUCAUAUAGGCACUGUGCCAUCUGGGUUCCAUGUCACCUGUGUUCCGUGUCACCUGUGUUCCGUGUCACAGUGUCACCCAGGCUCCGUGUCGUGCCGCACAGACUCUGUCACCUGCAUUCCAUGUCACCCGGGUUCUGUGUCACACAGGCAUUGCGUCCCCUGGGUUCCAUAGCACUCGGGUUCCGUGUCACCUGGGUUCCAUGUCGCGUGGGUUCCAUGACACAUAGGCAUUGUGUCACCCGGUCCCAUGUCACCAGGGCUCCAUGUCACCUGGGUUCUGUGUCACCUGGGUUCCGUGCCAUUUGGGUCUGUGUCACUCAGGUUCUGUGUCACCUUGGUUCCCUGUCACCUGGGUCCCACGCCACAGUGUCACCCAGGCUCCGUGUCACUGUGCCAUGCAGACCCCAUGUCACCUCGGUUCCGUGUCACCUGGACUCCACAUCACCCGGGCUCCAUGUCACUGUGUCACCUGGGCUCCACAUCACCUCUGCUCCAUGUCACCGUGUCACCUGGGCUCCACAUCACCUGGGCUCCAUGUCACUGUGUCACCUGGGCUCCAUGUCACCGGGCAGCUCUAUGUGACUGUGUCACCCGGGCUGCACAUCACCUGGUCUCCAUGUCACUGUGUCACCUGGGCUCCACAUCACUGGGGCUCCAUGUCACCGUGUCACCUGGGCUUCAUGUCACCAUGUCACCUGGGCUCCACGUCACCUGGGCUCCAUGUCACCGUGUCACCGGGCAGUUCCAUGUCACCGUGUCACCUGGGCUCCACAUCACCUGGGCUCCAUGUCACCGUGUCACCUGGGCUCCAUGUCACCUGGCAGCUCCAUGUCACUGUGUCACAUGGGCUCCACAUCACCUGGGCUUCAUGUCACAUGGGCAGCUCUAUGUCACCGUGUCACCCAGGCCCCACAUCACCUGGGCUCCAUGUCACUGUGUCACCUGGGCUCCACAUCACCUGGGCUCCGUGUCACUGUCUCAUGUGGGCUCCAUGUCACCGGGCAGCUCCAUAUCACCGUGUCACCUGGGCUCCACAUCACCUGGGCUCCAUGUCACCUGGCAGCUCCAUGUCACCGUGUCACCUGGGCUCCACGUCACCUGGGCUCUAUGACACUGUGUCACCAUGUCACCGUGUCACCUGGGCUCCACAUCACCUGGGCUCCAUGUCACUGUGUCACCUGGGUUCCGUGUCACUGAGUCAUGUGGGCUCCAUGUCACCUGGGCUCCAUGUCACCGUGUCACCGGGCAGUUCCAUGUCACCGUGUCACCUGGGCUCCACAUCACCUGGGCUCCAUGUCACCGUGUCACCUGGGCUCCAUGUCACCUGGCAGCUCCAUGUCACCGUGUCACCUGGGCUCCACAUCACCUGGGCUCCAUGUCAUUGUGUCAUGUGGGCUCCACAUCACCUGGGCUUCAUGUCACAUGGGCAGCUCUACGUCACCGUGUCACCCAGGCCCCACAUCACCUGGGCUCCAUGUCACUGUGUCACCUGGGCUCCACAUCACCUGGGCUCCGUGUCACUGUCUCAUGUGGGCUCCAUGUCACCGGGCAGCUCCAUGUCACCGUGUCACCUGGGCUCCAUGUCACCUGGGCUCCAUGACACUGUGUCACCUGGGUUCCAUGUCACUGAGUCAUGUGGGCUCCCUGUCACCUGGGCUCCAUGUCACCGUGUCACCGGGCAGUUCCAUGUCACCAUGUCACAUGGGCUCCACAUCACCUGGGCUCCGUGUCACUGUGUCACAUGGGCUCCGUGUCACUGUCUCAUGUGGGCUCCAUGUCACCGGGCAGCUCCAUGUCACCGUGUCACCUGGGCUCCACAUCACCUGGGCUCCAUGGCACUGUGUCAUGUGAGCUCCACGUCACUGGGGCUCCAUGUCACCGUGUCACCUGGGCUUCAUGUCACCAUGUCACCUGGGCUCCACGUCACCUGUGCUCCAUGUCACCGUGUCACCGGGCAGCUCCACGUCCCCGUGUCACCUGGGCUCCACAUCACCUGGGCUCCACACCAGCCAGGCUCAGUGACACCACAACACCCGAGGGCUGCACAUCACCACCCGACUCACCCUCAGCCUUCAUCCCCACUGCCAUCUCCGUCCUCAUCCUCGUCCCCAUCGCCGUCCCCAGGCCCGGGGGUGACGUUCAGCCCCCCGUGGGGCUCGAAGCGCAGCCUCCAUCCCCGCGGCACCGAUCCGGGCAGGACGAGGCGGACGUUCACCCGCAGUGGGACCCCGGGGAGGGGUCUCAGACGGCACUCAGCCGGGAAGUAACGGCGCAGGACGGGCAGCACACGGGGCCCGGGGGGGGGCACACGGAGGGCAGCCAGGAGCCGGGCCGGGGGUCGGGG